AGAAUCCAUAAUCAUUCAUUAUAAAUAUCAUCAUCUAUAAGUCUAAAGUCAAGCAUACCUAUUAACUAUACAUCAAAAUGUUUCAUCCAUACCAUAUGUUAAGGUGAUAAUCAUCACCAAACACAUCAAAAUGUAAAUUAAAAAUUCCAAAAUAUCUGAUCUUGCUAUUCAUCCAAACAACCAUCAUGUAGAUAAAAUAUUCUUAUACCAAAACUGGAUUUUGCUUGUAGACAACUCCACCAUGAUCAUCUGAACAAAAGCUAUCCAUGUACCAGAAACUAGAUUUCACAUGCUCAUAACUCCACCAUGUAUCUGAGAAAGCAAAAAAGAAUACACAAUCAAUAACCACAUGUGAAAAAUAAUAAACUAAAAUUCAAGUAUAAGUUCAUAAUGACAUUUCGCUUAAUUUGGUCCAAAUCUCUAAAUAACCUACGUAAUAUAAAUGAGAAUACAUACCAACGAGUAUUUGUAGCAUCAGUUGAAAACAUGGCCCCAUCAUGAUGGAUAGAUGACUUGUGUGUUUGAGUCUUUUCCUUUAAGAACUCUGUCACCAAACUUGUAAGAUGUGCAAUUUACUUCUGUUCUUCCUC
This 590-nucleotide long non-coding RNA is filed under the name Phoenix dactylifera (date palm). RNAcentral's name for it is "long non-coding RNA (PDAC_LNC012003)". The record is from RNAcentral. Lineage: Eukaryota; Viridiplantae; Streptophyta; Magnoliopsida; Arecales; Arecaceae.